Molecule: ribosomal RNA, 253 nt
Filed under: uncultured bacterium
Lineage: Bacteria
Description: partial 16S ribosomal RNA
Rfam family: Bacterial small subunit ribosomal RNA
Source: RNAcentral
UACGAAGGGGGCUAGCGUUACUCGGAAUUACUGGGCGUAAAGGGUGCGCAGGCGGUUUUGUAAGUCAGGCGUGAAAUCCCCGGGCUCAACCUGGGAACUGCAUUUGAGACUGCACGGCUAGAGUGUGGCAGAGGGGGGUAGAAUUCCACGUGUAGCAGUGAAAUGCGUAGAGAUGUGGAGGAAUACCGAUGGCGAAGGCAGCCCCCUGGGCCAAUACUGACGCUCAUGCACGAAAGCGUGGGGAGCAAACAGG